AGUGCAGAAAUUGAAAAAAAGAAAAUUUAAAAAGAAGUAAAUACUAAGAUGGAGUUUGCAAAAACCUGAAGUCAUUAUGAGGUGAAUCUCGAUGGCCUAUUUGGAAGCGAAAAGUCGAGGAUCUUCUAGAUUUCUACGAGGGAGUUUUCGAUGUAAUUGAACAGAGAAUUACAAAUCUCGGACCCGUGCAACAAGGAACAGCAGAAGUUUAAGUGAGGGAAUACAAAAACUGUUGUGAUAUCUAUCGAAAAGUUGUGAGAUAUAUCGAAAAAGUUACGCCAAAAGUCUGAUCAGAAGCCCAAUUUUCAUGAAGGGAAUGGAUAAAAAAUCUGUUCCAUUAUGAAGCAAUCAAAAGAUCAAAUGUUAAUAGAGCUAUUUUCUUUUGAAUGGAUAGCAGAAAAGGAUAGUUUGACAUAUAUGUAUAUCAAAGUUUCAAAACCCGAUCUGAACAAGCUCUCAAAUGCUGUAAAUUGAAAUCACCACCAUUCAAGGAAAGAUUCCAAAGUUUUGAAGCUGGCACAGCACGACCGCUUGACAUGAUAAAAGCUAACAGGAAGCCAUUGUCUGAACUGAAGGACAUUCAGAACCAUGCCUCAAGAGGGAGAUGGAAAUGUAUGACUAGUGAAGCAACAUGCCGAAGUAUUUAGUUCUUGGAAAUCCUUAUGCAAUCUGGUGAGAGAUUUAUAGAGCUGCGGUAAGCAAUCGCUACAUAUUAUUGUCAAUGUACACAUAAACAUGGGACCGCUAUCUUGGCAAAUGUGUAACUGUGCCCAUCACUGAUAGAAUAUAACUAGUAUAUACAAAAUUUCACGGCAAAAACAAAUCAGACCUAACCACUGACGAGUGUAUGGCAAAUACAUGGCCAAACUAAUAUUAAGAGAAAAUUGCAGUAACCCAGCUGAGCAAUGGAGCCACGAUACUAUGUGCCAGUAACAGCAAAUACGUGUUUUAACCAUUGUAUAUACGAUUUCUUGGGCUCAUAUAGUGAGAUAUAGCAGGAGAGAUAGUUGGCCCUAACAAUGCUUGUCACUGUUCAUCAGAUAUUCGAUUGAAAAUUUCAAGGCAGUUUUCCACAGUCCGAUAUGUUGAAAGGUAUUUCAAGUAUAAGUAUGAAACUGAACGCCUGGGUUCAAAUCCUGGCGAGAAUAUGACAUUUGUGAGGGACUAUGUCAUUUGAAAAAAUGGUAUGGCAGCCAUGUAAAAACUGACGUAUCGUACUGCGACACGCCAUUUGGACUUGGCCCUAAACAGGAGGCCCCUUACCAUUGGGAUUAAACUUGAAUCGGACAACACUCAGUGAUAGUUUAUUAUAGAAAUUCCAAUAAUAAUGUCCAGUACCAAUUUUAUCAACGGAAUUUGAUUUAGUGCCGUAAAAU
This is a long non-coding RNA of Stomoxys calcitrans (stable fly), 1376 nucleotides long. RefSeq lists it as uncharacterized. The transcript is spliced from 4 exons. The record is from RefSeq and is a predicted model, not a curated record. Lineage: Eukaryota; Metazoa; Arthropoda; Insecta; Diptera; Muscidae.